UUGAACGCUGGCGGUAUGCUUUACACAUGCAAGUCGAACGGGCUAUGGGGCUUGCUCCAUAGUUAGUGGCGAACGGGUGAGUAAUAUAUCGGAACGUACCCUGUCGUGGGGGAUAACACAGCGAAAGCUGUGCUAAUACCGCAUACGACCUGAGGGUGAAAGCGGGGGAUCGCAAGACCUCGCGCGAUAGGAGCGGCCGAUAUCGGAUUAGCUUGUUGGUGAGGUAAAGGCUCACCAAGGCGACGAUCCGUAGCUGGUCUGAGAGGACGACCAGCCACACUGGAACUGAGACACGGUCCAGACUCCUACGGGAGGCAGCAGUGGGGAAUUUUGGACAAUGGGGGCAACCCUGAUCCAGCCAUUCCGCGUGAGUGAAGAAGGCCUUCGGGUUGUAAAGCUCUUUCAGCAGGAACGAAACGGUGGCUACUAAUACUAGCUACUAAUGACGGUACCUGAAGAAGAAGCACCGGCUAACUACGU
RNAcentral lists this ribosomal RNA (480 nucleotides) under uncultured bacterium. RNAcentral describes it as "bacterial SSU rRNA". It matches the Rfam family "Bacterial small subunit ribosomal RNA", at positions 30 to 506 of the family's 1533-position model. The record is from RNAcentral.